RNAcentral lists this ribosomal RNA (1005 nucleotides) under uncultured bacterium. RNAcentral describes it as "bacterial SSU rRNA". It matches the Rfam family "Bacterial small subunit ribosomal RNA", at positions 355 to 1375 of the family's 1533-position model. The record is from RNAcentral.
UGGGGAAUAUUGGGCAAUGGAGGAAACUCUGACCCAGCAACGCCGCGUGGAGGAAGAAGGUUUUCGGAUCGUAAACUCCUGUCCUUGGAGACGAGUAGAAGACGGUAUCCAAGGAGGAAGCCCCGGCUAACUACGUGCCAGCAGCCGCGGUAAUACGUAGGGGGCAAGCGUUGUCCGGAAUAAUUGGGCGUAAAGGGCGCGUAGGCGGCUCGGUAAGUCUGGAGUGAAAGUCCUGCUUUUAAGGUGGGAAUUGCUUUGGAUACUGUCGGGCUUGAGUGCAGGAGAGGUUAGUGGAAUUCCCAGUGUAGCGGUGAAAUGCGUAGAGAUUGGGAGGAACACCAGUGGCGAAGGCGACUAACUGGACUGUAACUGACGCUGAGGCGCGAAAGUGUGGGGAGCAAACAGGAUUAGAUACCCUGGUAGUCCACACUGUAAACGAUGAAUGCUAGGUGUAGGGGGUAUCGACCCCUUCUGUGCCGCAGUCAACACAAUAAGCAUUCCGCCUGGGGAGUACGGCCGCAAGGUUGAAACUCAAAGGAAUUGACGGGGGCCCGCACAAGCAGCGGAGCAUGUGGUUUAAUUCGACGCAACGCGAAGAACCUUACCAGGUCUUGACAUCCACUUAAACUUACAGAGAUGUAAGGUGUGCUUGCACAAAGUGAGACAGGUGGUGCAUGGUUGUCGUCAGCUCGUGUCGUGAGAUGUUGGGUUAAGUCCCGCAACGAGCGCAACCCUUAUCUUCAGUUACUAACGCGUGAAGGCGAGGACUCUGAAGAGACUGCCGGGGACAACUCGGAGGAAGGUGGGGACGACGUCAAAUCAUCAUGCCCCUUAUGACCUGGGCUACACACGUGCUACAAUGGCCACGACAGAGAGAAGCGAAAUCGUAAGGUAGAGCGGAACUCAAAAAAGUGGUCCCAGUUCGGAUUGUGGGCUGCAACCCGCCCACAUGAAGUCGGAGUUGCUAGUAAUCGCGGAUCAGCAUGCCGCGGUGAAUACGUUCCC